CGGUGGAGCAUGUGGUUUAAUUCGAUGCAACGCGAAGAACCUUACCUGGGCUUGACAUGGAUUGGAAGAGUGGCAGAAAUGCUCCCUCGAUACAGGUGUGACGAGCGCAACCCUUGCCUUUAGUUGCCAGCGGGAUGUCAAGUCUCAUGGCCCUUAUGUCCAGGCUACAUACAUGGAGAUUACAAGGGAUGCGAAGCCGUAAGGUGAAGCCCCCCACAAAAGUCUUCUAAGUUCAGAUUGAGGUGCAACUCGACCUCAUGAAGGUGGAAUCGCUAGUAAUCGGGAUCAGAACGCCGCGGUGAAUACGUUCCCGGGCCUUGUACACACCGCCGUCACACCAUGAAAGUCGGUCGUACCAGAAGUCGCUGUGUUAACCGUAAGGAGGCAGGCGCCCAAGUAUGGUCGAUGAUUGGGGUGAAGUCGUACAAGGU
This 431-nucleotide ribosomal RNA is filed under the name uncultured delta proteobacterium. RNAcentral describes it as "bacterial SSU rRNA". It matches the Rfam family "Bacterial small subunit ribosomal RNA", at positions 930 to 1497 of the family's 1533-position model. The record is from RNAcentral. Lineage: Bacteria; Deltaproteobacteria.